Molecule: non-coding RNA, 19 nt
Filed under: Arabidopsis thaliana (thale cress)
Lineage: Eukaryota; Viridiplantae; Streptophyta; Magnoliopsida; Brassicales; Brassicaceae
Source: RNAcentral
GCUGGUUGUUGUCGCUGGU